This 882-nucleotide ribosomal RNA is filed under the name Triticum aestivum (bread wheat). RNAcentral's name for it is "partial small subunit ribosomal RNA". Lineage: Eukaryota; Viridiplantae; Streptophyta; Magnoliopsida; Poales; Poaceae. The record is from RNAcentral.
AUGAAAAGCAAUACAUGGGGAUAUUUUCUGGAGUCUCCUAUCUACUCAUUGUUUCUCUCAUGCCUAUCCCCAGAAAUAGGUGUUGUCAAGUACAACCAACUCGCCAAUAGUUCCAAAACUUACAUCCCAUACUGGGCCCGAAAGGCCUCCUGCACCGCACGGGAUCUACCAUCUACGACGCCCCAUGGCGGCGACGGCGCGGCUGCUGCUCCGCUCGCUGACGCUGAGGCGGCCUCCUCUCGUCUCCUCCUCUCCGGGCGCCCACCCCGCCGCCGAUCUCCUCCACCGCUGGCCCACGCUGGUACUGUUUCUUUCUCGCAAGCGGUUUAUGUGGCAGAUAUAGCAUUGAAAAGGAAGCUUACUAUGUGGGGAGCUAAGGACAACGACCUGAUCAGCAAAGGGCAAAUCUGGCGCCUGGCUACACCAGUUCUUCUUCAUGGACGUCUUCGUCACAUUGCUUUAAAUACUCUCUCUUUGGCUAGCAUUGGGCCUAUGGUGGAAGAGUUUGCUGGCCCUAGAAGAUUUCUAGCAAUUUAUUGCACUUCGGCACUCACAUGUUCACUAAUGAGUUACUGGUUUACCUCCACACCUGGUAUAGGUGCAUCUGGUGCUAUCUUUGGAUUGGCUGGUGCGUAUGUUGUUUAUAUAUGGAGGCACCAAGAGCUUUUACAAAACGGAAAGGAAGUUUUAGAGAGUAUUAAAAUUGUGGUUUUAUUAAAUCUGGGCAUCGGCAUCCUUCUUAGGCACCGCAUCGACAACUGGGCACAUGUAUGUCUCCCCUACAGUUUUGCAUCGGGUUCCUUGGAAGGGUUCCUUGGGGGAGCAGCAGUCGAAUGGUUCUGCGGUCCUGAUUGGAAACGGCGGCCUUUGUUCGGCCAAUGA